Molecule: ribosomal RNA, 274 nt
Filed under: uncultured bacterium
Lineage: Bacteria
Description: partial 16S ribosomal RNA
Rfam family: Bacterial small subunit ribosomal RNA
Source: RNAcentral
AGACGAACCGUCCAAACGUUAUUCGGAAUCACUGGGCUUAAAGGGUGCGUAGGCGGCCUGGCAAGUUGGGUGUGAAAUCCCUCGGCUCAACCGAGGAACUGCGCCCAAAACUGCCAGACUUGAGGGAGAUAGAGGUGAGCGGAACUUAGGGUGGAGCGGUGAAAUGCGUUGAUAUCCUAAGGAACACCGGUGGCGAAGGCGGCUCACUGGAUCUCUUCUGACGCUGAGGCACGAAAGCUAGGGUAGCGAACGGGAGUAGAAACCCCGGUAGUCC